Molecule: ribosomal RNA, 253 nt
Filed under: uncultured bacterium
Lineage: Bacteria
Description: partial 16S ribosomal RNA
Rfam family: Bacterial small subunit ribosomal RNA
Source: RNAcentral
GACAGAGGUGCCGAGCGUUAGGCGGAAUCACUGGGCUUAAAGCGUGUGUAGGUGGAUGCCUAAGUACCUUGUGAAAUCCCACGGCUUAACCGUGGAACUGCUUGGUAUACUGGAUGUCUUGAGCCAGCUAGGGGCUACCGGAACAAAUGGUGGAGCGGUGAAAUGCGUAGAUAUCAUUUGGAACGCCAAUGGUGAAAACAGGUAGCUGGGGCUGUGCUGACACUGAGACACGAAAGCCAGGGGAGCGAACGGG